CCUACGGGUGGCUGCAGUGGGGAAUAUUGCACAAUGGGGGAAACCCUGAUGCAGCGACGCCGCGUGAGUGAAGAAGUCUUUCGGUAUGUAAAGCUCUAUCAGCAGGGAAGAAAAUGACGGUACCUGUUUAAUAAGCCCCGGCUAACUACGUGCCAGCAGCCGCGGUAAUACGUAGGGGGCAAGCGUUAGCCGGUUUUACUGGGUGUAAAGGGAGCGUAGACGGCAGCACAAGUCUGGAGUGAAAUGCCGGGGCUUAACCCCGGAACUGCGUUUGAUACUGUGCAGCGAGAGUGCAGUAGAGGUGAGUAGAAUUCCUAGUGUAGCGGUGAAAUGCGUAGAGAUGAGGAGGAACACCGAAGGCGAAGGCAGCCUACUGGAAUGUAACUGACGUUGAGGCGCGAAAGCGUGGGGAGCAAACAGGAUUAGAUACCCUAGUAGUC
Molecule: ribosomal RNA, 440 nt
Filed under: uncultured bacterium
Lineage: Bacteria
Description: partial 16S ribosomal RNA
Rfam family: Bacterial small subunit ribosomal RNA
Source: RNAcentral